UAGGGAAUCUUCCGCAAUGGACGCAAGUCUGACGGAGCAACGCCGCGUGAGUGAAGAAGGAUUUCGGUUCGUAAAACUCUGUUGUUAGAGAAGAACAGCGCAUAGAGUAACUGUUAUGCGUGUGACGGUAUCUAACCAGAAAGCCACGGCUAACUACGUGCCAGCAGCCGCGGUAAUACGUAGGUGGCAAGCGUUGUCCGGAUUUAUUGGGCGUAAAGCGAGCGCAGGCGGUCAAUUAAGUCUGAUGUGAAAGCCCCCGGCUCAACCGGGGAGGGUCAUUGGAAACUGGUUGACUUGAGUGCAGAAGAGGAGAGUGAAAUUCCAUGUGUAGGGGUGAAAUGCGUAGAUAUAUGGUGGAACACCAGUGGCGAAGGCGACUCUCUGGUCUGUAACUGACGCUGAGGCUCGAAAGCGUGGGUAGCAAACAGG
RNAcentral lists this ribosomal RNA (429 nucleotides) under Bacteroidota bacterium. Its description in RNAcentral is "Bacteroidetes bacterium partial 16S ribosomal RNA". It matches the Rfam family "Bacterial small subunit ribosomal RNA", at positions 355 to 776 of the family's 1533-position model. Lineage: Bacteria; Pseudomonadati; Bacteroidota. The record is from RNAcentral.